CUUUGGCUGCGAAGAAUAUAAUCAAUCUGAUUUCGGUGUUGACCAUCUGGUGAUGUCCAUGUGUAGGGUAAAGAGUCUUUCCUUUACUUGAGUAUAACUUUUCACUUUAGUUUCUACAUUCAUUUAGUGACUUGUUGACCAGGGUUUGUCUUGCUACUCCUGCUCUAGCUCUAAUUCACAUUGAGGUAAGAAAAAUAAAGUGAAGUAAAAAAAAGGCAGAGGGGCUAUAAGCUCUAUCAUAUUUAAGACUUUAGUUUUUUUUGUUGUUGUUUCCCUUUGCCACUUUCCUAGAAAGUAAAACUCCACGGUUGUUUUGUGGGCAAAAAGAAAACUAAUCUAAGUCUGAAUGUCUGAAUAUGAACGAAGGGAAGUGGUUUUCCCCGACACAAUGAUGUCUUCUUAGUUAGCAAACUUCAGUGCAGCACAGCUGGGGAUGAGGCUGUGGCAGAGGGGAAGCAUGAGGCCAGUAUGAACAACAGAAAGGCUGGGCCAUGGCUGCUUCUGACAGAAGCUCACGAAGGUCAAGUCCUGGGUCAAGUGACUGCCCUUUGCUUUGCAAGAUUGGCUACCUCAUUUUUCUUUCAAUUAAUGCACGUAGGAUUAGUUUCAGGAGAGAAGGAAGAAUUCAAAUCCACUACCUAAGAAGAGAUGGACAACUAGAACGCCAAUUGCUGGAAUACUAACCUUCUCUGGCAGUGUCUUGGAGAGCAGCCUUGCUGAGCAUCUGUCUACGUAAUAAAUCCACUCAGGCAAUGAGAAGAUGCUUUGAAAAAAACUAGGAUGAAAUAGAAUUAAAUGAUUCCAAAACAUCCUGAACUUAAUCUGGAUAAUAAUAAUUAUGAUAUUAAAAAUAGUAGCUGAAUUUUAUUGCCUGCUACUAAUGGACUAGUUCUUUAGAAUUUUAACUGAAUCCUCUCAUUAACUCUUAGGGUCACACUCACUUAUACUCCUGGAGAAAAAUAUAAAUCUAGACAAAUGAACUAUGCCAAUCAUAGCAAAGAUUCAAGAGCAAAUCUUGGGGGCUUUGAUUUGUCUGAACAAUCCAAUUUUAAAAAAAAAGGAAGGCUGCAAAUGAACAUGACAUUAAGGAACCAAUGAAAUAAGUGAUAGGAGGAGAGUGAGUUGACAAAGACCCCUUGUCCAUUUCAGAUGCCAAAGAGUCAAGACCUACUGUUUUGUAGGGCUGCAGUGUGUGGUCUGAAGUCCGCAGAAUUGAGAUCUAAUCAUAAAUAGAGAAAAUCACUAUUAAGUAGUUGGAAGGGAGUAGAUUGUUCUGCCAGCUAAAAGAAAAGUAGGUGUUUGCUCAUUGUCUAGUUGUUAGGAUCCAGUACUUUCACUGCAAUGACCUGAUUUCAAUCCCUGGUUGGGGAAGUCCGAUCACACAAGCCUCCCCAAAGUCUAAGCUUUUAUGAGUGGUUUCUUCAAUGAAAUAUAGUAAAAUAAUUUUAUUGGCCCUAUGAGAGGUAAGCCCUACUUUCUAUGUAUUUAAACUUCUUGACCUUUCUUGUGAGCUUAAGAACAAAGAAAAAGCAGGUAACACUCUCUCGCCACAUGAGUUCUGAUGUUUCUCCUUCAGGAUGACAAUGAAAACAUCAUUCCACAUCAGAUUCUGCAGAAUGAAGUCUCUACCCACUGCAGUAGACCCUGACCUCCAUCACACCCUAAUAGGAGUUCAGAGUUGAGAUCAGGAACGAGGCCCUCUGUGCUCUGGGAAAACUGACACAACAGGCCUUCUGAUAGUUAAAUAAUUUCCAGAGAAAAUUGAUGAACCCAAUUUUACAACUUCUCAUGGGUAGAAAAGCUCUAAAAUCUUUCAGAGAGACAUCCUUUCCUCCUGAUUCUCAGCCACUUUCUCCCAAGAUGUGAGCUUAUCUGCACGUCACCCCUUCACCACAAUCGCAUGCAUACUGACCUCCUCUCCGUCCGUGGGGCAGUUCCUCAGAGCUGAGGGGAGGCUGACCUCUGGCCUGUAGUCCUCAGCAAGUCCUCCCAAUAAAAUGCACUCUUGGGAGUCAUGUUUUGGGUUUUGUUUUUUUUUUGGUUGACAAGGACCCCUUCCAGGAGACCUCUUCAGGUAACCUGCUGUUCUCGUUCUCAAGGAAGACACCUGGGUUUCUCACCUCCAGUCCAGCCGGGUCAUCCUGGUGUCUACUGAUGGAGUCCAGUGAAGAACCGCUACUCUAUUUCCCAACUUCUGGUCAAGAUGUGGGUGUUGAGGAGGCCUGUGUGUGACCAAGAUGGAAGCACACGUGUGCUUCCUAGACAGAAGCAGUGAACAUUUUCCUCCUUGGCAGGGAGAAGCUGGCUUGAAUCGUGAAGACCCUAAACCCCAGGAAGGUUUCCAAACCUCUCAAUGUACUUUAAAUGUUCCCUGAGGGGCCUCCAUGGUGGCUCAGUGGUGAGGAGCCCACCUGCCAAUAGGACCACAUGCGGCCCUAGAGGAUGCGCAUGCUGCAGAACAGCUGAGCCGUGUGCCGCAACUAUUGCCCUGUGCGCAAGACCCGGGGACCCCCACUACCAAAGCCAAGUGCAUGGGAGCCCGUGCUCCCCAACAAGAGAAGCUGCCACAGGGAGAAGCCUGUGCACCACAAGUAGAGAGGACCCACCUUUGCCACAACUAGAGCAAAGUGCAGGCGGCAAUGAAGACACAGCACAGUGAAAAAUGAAUAAAUAAAUAAAAUUAUUUUAAAAGUCCCUCCAACUUUACAUAUAGCUACUGAGUGCUGUAUGUCCCAACUGGAAAGAAGAGAAAGAUGACUGAUCCAUCAAUGUCCUGAAAAUUGUCUACACUAAAUACAUGAAUUUCCACAAAGAUCUUUGUUACUUUGAGAAACUGUAUUCUUCCAGUGUUCACUUUACUAACAUAUGUCCUAUGAGAGAUGCAAAGACACCAUGAUGGAAUUUAAGAACUUCCUUAGAUUGCAUUGUCCCCAGGCACCUCUUGCCCUGCUGUGUGAUUACUUGCUGGGUCCUAAGGAAGAAACAAGUCUGCAGCUGUGACGGGAGUGACCCUCAUGCCUUCCAGGACUCUGCAGGCUGCUGUGGUGUGAACGUCAUCUGUGCUGGGGACACAGCUGGUGGCCAGGCAUUCGUGCUCUGUCUCUGUGCUCUCAGCAUCCGCUUCAGUGUUCUCAGUCUCUGAACAGGAAUGUUGUGGAGAAGCACUUGCCUCAGUGUAGUUCAUCUGUGUUGUUCUGUGUCCUGAGGACCCGCUGCUGCUCCAGUGAACACUUUAAACAUCUCUGUUCUCCUUCCAAGUUCUCAAGCUGCUGCUGCCUUUCAACUCCAAGUGUCAGAUGCUUUGGGCUUUUCUCAAAUGUGAUUCCUGAACCAGGUGAGUUCCUCCUAGUGCAACCAUCACGUGGAAUAGCCUAGGUAGGCACUCAGAGGAGAAGGCAAUGGCCACCCAACAGUACUCUUGCCUGGAAAAUCCCACGAACGGAGGAGCCUGGUAGGCUGCAGUCCAUGGCAUCACAAAAGUCGGACAC
Molecule: long non-coding RNA, 3488 nt
Organism: Bubalus bubalis (water buffalo)
Lineage: Eukaryota; Metazoa; Chordata; Mammalia; Artiodactyla; Bovidae
Exons: 3
Source: RefSeq, a predicted model, not a curated record